GCGCGGGUGGCGGAACUGGCAGACGCGCACGUUUGAGGGGCGUGUGACCGAAAGGUUGUAAGGGUUCGAGUCCCUUCUCGCGCA
This 84-nucleotide transfer RNA is filed under the name Elusimicrobiota bacterium. RNAcentral's name for it is "Elusimicrobia bacterium (groundwater metagenome) tRNA-Leu". It matches the Rfam family "tRNA". From Rfam's summary of the family: Transfer RNA (tRNA) molecules are approximately 80 nucleotides in length. Their secondary structure includes four short double-helical elements and three loops (D, anti-codon, and T loops). The record is from RNAcentral. Lineage: Bacteria; Pseudomonadati; Elusimicrobiota.